Molecule: ribosomal RNA, 400 nt
Filed under: uncultured bacterium
Lineage: Bacteria
Description: bacterial SSU rRNA
Rfam family: Bacterial small subunit ribosomal RNA
Source: RNAcentral
UGGGGAAUUUUCCGCAAUGGGCGAAAGCCUGACGGAGCAACGCCGCGUGAGGGAGGAAGGUCUUUGGAUUGUAAACCUCUUUUCUCAAGGAAGAAGUAAGUGACGGUACUUGAGGAAUAAGCAUCGGCUAACUUCGUGCCAGCAGCCGCGGUAAUACGAGGGAUGCAAGCGUUAUCCGGAAUUAUUGGGCGUAAAGCGUCCGCAGGUGGCAAUCCAAGUCUGCCGUUAAAGAGUGGAGCUCAACUCCAUAAAGGCGGUGGAAACUGGAUAGCUAGAGAGCAGUAGGGGUAGCAGGAAUUCCCAGUGUAGCGGUGAAAUGCGUAGAGAUUGGGAAGAACAUCGGUGGCGAAAGCGUGCUACUGGGCUGUAUCUGACACUCAGGGACGAAAGCCAGGGGAGC